UCCCUCUCAUACAGCCGCCGUCGUUCCAAGGAGUAACCAACCAUUCCCGAGUUGUCUGAAGAUAGGUGUACUACUAGUGUUUGGUUUGCGUUCGCUUUUGCGGUGACGGAUAUUAUAUUUCAAGGAUUGCCGCUGUUUUCCCUACCGUUUAAUUAUUUGCAAGAAAGAACCACAGAGAUCAUUCUACCGCAGAUAGGUUCAUAAGCCUCAACAGGUAAGUGGUUUUAAGCUGUGGUGCUGUUGGAGAUUCAUUUAAUUCGUUAUGUAAAAUUCAUAUACUGCAUACAUAGGUAAGGUUUUCACUAUUGCUUUCUUCCGGUACAAUAUAAAUAGUCACAUUGUUUACCAUUGGUGGCUACCUGUUGAGAUGUUUAUUAUUGGUGGCUACCUAUUGAAAUGUUUAUUAUUGGUGGCUACCUGUUGAGAUGUUUAUUAUUAGUGGUUACAUGAUGAGAUGUUUAUUGUUGGUGGUUUCCUGUCGAGAUGUUUAUUAUUGGUGGUUACAUGUUGAGAUAUUUAUUAUUGGUGGUUACCAGUUGUGAUUUGUGUAGUUUGUAUUGGUGUUGAUUAUUAUUAAGGUUUGAGAGUUUAUUAAUGCAGGUCUUAUCUUACAACCAAUAUAUUUUCCAAAAUGUGACAUUGUGAUGACCAUUUUAUAUUUUAAAAGCGCUAUUAUUUAUUUUCACCACCCAUACUUCCAUGUGUUUUUUAUACAAAGAUUUCAUGGCAAAUGAUGUUGAUCUAUAUUUGUUAUAAACAUUACAACUUCUUUGUGAAGGUAACCGAUUUAGGGAUUAUUGAAAAAAUAGUUCGCUCCAACAGCACUCAGUGUAAAACUAAAGGUAUCCAGAACGGCUGUAAGUUCAUAGUUUUUUGUUGUUUUCGCCGUUGUUUUUAAAUACAUAAAUAAAAAUUGCUUAAACUACGAUUUUAUAUUUUAGGUAACUUAAAUUGUUGAUUAAAUCAAGCUAGAGUUCAUCAUAAAGACUAAAACUUCGUUGCAAAGUUUUCGGAUUCUCGUGUUUCAAAAGAAAUCUGUCGGAUAUCGAUGUUGAAUUGAGUUUUUCGAUGAUUCUCAAUAAUUGUCAUACGUUAACAAAAACAGUUGUCAUUUCCUUUCGUUCAACAGCAUAAUCUUGUUAAUUUUUUCACCUUUUUAAUGCUAUUUAUAUUUUCGGUUAUUAUCCUUGACAUGACAUGUCUCUGCUCACUAACGGUAAAAUUAUGAUACAUUAUUAGAAGUUACUAGAAGCGUUUGAUAAUACUCACAGUUAUCGUAAAGUAGAGGCUACUUAUUUGCUGACAUUAAUACGAUAUUAGGAAUGAGAUGAUGCUGAUAAAAGUUUGACUUGAACACCAAAAUGGUCUUACUAAGUGUUUUAUAGAAGUAAUUCUUUGAUAUCGGCAACAUUAAGUAGAUGACUUUCAAAACGAAGAUUAUUCAUGACCAAAGUGCUUGGUUUUACAUUACUUAUAUUUUUAUGUUUGCUUAUUAAAAUAAUACAGGCCGUUCUGGAUAGCUUCUUAUCUUCAGUGUCAGCUUUAAGGAUCCCGAAAGGUAUGGAAAAAAAUUUUUCUCCACAAUUUGAUGUUCAAC
Molecule: long non-coding RNA, 1597 nt
Organism: Macrobrachium nipponense
Lineage: Eukaryota; Metazoa; Arthropoda; Malacostraca; Decapoda; Palaemonidae
Exons: 3
Source: RefSeq, a predicted model, not a curated record